This 253-nucleotide ribosomal RNA is filed under the name uncultured bacterium. Its description in RNAcentral is "partial 16S ribosomal RNA". It matches the Rfam family "Bacterial small subunit ribosomal RNA", at positions 524 to 776 of the family's 1533-position model. The record is from RNAcentral.
UACGUAGGUGGCAAGCGUUGUUCGGAAUUAUUGGGCGUAAAGGGUGCGUAGGCGGCGGAGUAAGUUGGGUGUGAAAUCCCGGGGCUCAACCUCGGAAUUGCAUUCAAUACUGCUUCGCUCGAGUACUGGAGAGGAGACUGGAAUUUACGGUGUAGCAGUGAAAUGCGUAGAGAUCGGGAGGAACACCAGAGGCGAAAGCGGCGACCUGGACAGGUACUGACACUCAACUACGAAAGCGUGGGGAGCAAACAGG